This 331-nucleotide ribosomal RNA is filed under the name uncultured Butyrivibrio sp. Its description in RNAcentral is "bacterial SSU rRNA". It matches the Rfam family "Bacterial small subunit ribosomal RNA", at positions 28 to 339 of the family's 1533-position model. Lineage: Bacteria; Bacillati; Bacillota; Clostridia; Lachnospirales; Lachnospiraceae. The record is from RNAcentral.
GAUGAACGCUGGCGGCGUGCCUAACACAUGCAAGUCGAACGGGGUUUAGACGCUGACGAGACUUCGGUCAAAUCUUGUCUAAACUUAGUGGCGAACGGGUGAGUAACGCGUGGGCAACCUGCCCCGUACCGGGGGAUAGCGGCUGGAAACGGCCGGUAAUACCGCAUAAGCGCACAGCACGGCAUCGUGCAGUGUGAAAAACUCCGGUGGUACGGGAUGGGCCCGCGUCUGAUUAGCCAGUUGGCGGGGUAACGGCCCACCAAAGCGACGAUCAGUAGCCGGGCUGAGAGGCCGGACGGCCACAUUGGGACUGAGACACGGCCCAGACUCC